GACGAACGCUGGCGGCGUGCUUAACACAUGCAAGUCGAACGAUGACGACCGAGCUUGCUCGGUCUGAUUAGUGGCGAACGGGUGAGUAACACGUGAGCAACCUGCCCUUCACUCUGGGAUAACCUCGGGAAAUCGGGGCUAAUACCGGAUAUGGGCUCCUGUCGCAUGGCGGGUGUUGGAAAGUUUUUCGGUGAAGGAUGGGCUCGCGGCCUAUCAGUUUGUUGGUGAGGUAGUGGCUCACCAAGGCGAUGACGGGUAGCCGGCCUGAGAGGGCGACCGGCCACACUGGGACUGAGACACGGCCCAGACUCCUACGGGAGGCAGCAGUGGGGAAUAUUGCACAAUGGGCGAAAGCCUGAUGCAGCGACGCCGCGUGAGGGAUGACGGCCUUCGGGUUGUAAACCUCUUUCAGCAGGGAAGAAGCGAAAGUGACGGUACCUGCAGAAGAAGCGCCGGCUAACUACGUG
This 467-nucleotide ribosomal RNA is filed under the name uncultured bacterium. Its description in RNAcentral is "partial 16S ribosomal RNA". It matches the Rfam family "Bacterial small subunit ribosomal RNA", at positions 28 to 507 of the family's 1533-position model. The record is from RNAcentral.